This 377-nucleotide ribosomal RNA is filed under the name uncultured bacterium. RNAcentral's name for it is "bacterial SSU rRNA". It matches the Rfam family "Bacterial small subunit ribosomal RNA", at positions 521 to 896 of the family's 1533-position model. The record is from RNAcentral.
UAAGACAGAGGCCUCGAGCGUUAGGCGGAAUCACUGGGCUUAAAGCGUGUGUAGGCGGACCUCUAAGUACCUUGUGAAAUCCCACGGCUCACCCGUGGAACCGCUGGGUAUACUGGGGGUCUUGGGCCAUUCAGGGGCAACUGGAACAAGCGGUGGAGCGGUGAAAUGCGUAGAUAUCGCUUGGAACGCCGACGGUGAAAACAGGUUGCUGGGAAUGCGCCGACGCUGAGACACGAAAGCCAGGGGAGCAAACGGGAUUAGAUACCCCGGUAGUCCUGGCCCUAAACGAUGUCCACUAGAUUGCGGCGGGUUUGACCCCGUCGCGGUCGAAGCAAAAGUGUUAAGUGGACCGCCUGGGAAGUACGGUCGCAAGGCUA